AGUGAACGCUGGCGGUAGGCCUAACACAUGCAAGUCGAACGGCAGCACAGUAAGAGCUUGCUCUUACGGGUGGCGAGUGGCGGACGGGUGAGGAAUACAUCGGAAUCUACUUUUUCGUGGGGGGUAACGUAGGGAAACUUACGCUAAUACCGCAUACGACCUACGGGUGAAAGCAGGGGAUCUUCGGACCUUGCGCGAUUGAAUGAGCCGAUGUCGGAUUAGCUAGUUGGCGGGGUAAAGGCCCACCAAGGCGACGAUCCGUAGCUGGUCUGAGAGGAUGAUCCGCCACACUGGAGCUGAGACACGGUCCAGACUCCUACGGGAGGCAGCAGUGGGGAAUAUUGGACAAUGGGCGCAAGCCUGAUCCAGCCAUACCGCGUGGGUGAAGAAGGCCUUCGGGUUGUAAAGCCCUUUUGUUGGGAAAGAAAAGCAGCAGGUUAAUACCCCGCUGUUCUGACGGUACCCAAAGAAUAAGCACCGGCUAACUUCGUG
This 492-nucleotide ribosomal RNA is filed under the name uncultured bacterium. RNAcentral's name for it is "partial 16S ribosomal RNA". It matches the Rfam family "Bacterial small subunit ribosomal RNA", at positions 29 to 507 of the family's 1533-position model. The record is from RNAcentral.